This is a long non-coding RNA of Ailuropoda melanoleuca (giant panda), 3020 nucleotides long. RefSeq lists it as uncharacterized. The transcript is spliced from 2 exons. Lineage: Eukaryota; Metazoa; Chordata; Mammalia; Carnivora; Ursidae. The record is from RefSeq and is a predicted model, not a curated record.
UGGAGAUGAAGGGGUGGGUCUAUGGUACAUCACCUGAGUUGUGGGGUAAAUGUAGAGAGUGUCAAUCAAAGGCAGAGCUCUCAGAGCUGGGAAGGAGGCUCUAGAUGGCGGCUGUGCCUUAGAGAGAGCGCGCUCUGCUCCCUGCCUUCGCCUCACUUUACGCAACUUUCCCUAACUUUCGGGCAGCCUCAGGGGGCCCCCGCAGCCCCCUGCCUCUCCUAGUGGCUUACUGGGGUCGAUUUGAACCUUUUUAAGGGAGAAAAGCAGCUUUUAGGACCUUCCUUUUCGUGCCUUGUUGGAAAGAAGCAGCCGUACUGAGAGCCCAGGUCGUUGUUUUUUCCAGCUUAGAAGCCAUGGCGCACCUCCAUUUUUGUGCGCUCUCCUAAUGAGGUUUUUUUUUCUUCCGGACCCGUUUUAGUAUUAAUUGUUGCUUUAUUUUUUUGACCAGUUAACAUACUGGAGGAUUAUUGUAUUUAUUUUUCGUUUUUGUAACGGAGAAUUUUGUUUUUAUUUUUAAUUAUUUGGGAUCUGAUAUUUUUCUACUACUAGAUAGGACUCCUGCUUUGGACCUACUACAUGGAUCAGUAAAUACCUGGGCACAGGACUUCAAAGCAAACACAGAUUCCCCCUCCCCCUUAUAUUUAAGAAUUAAAAGAUGAUGAGAAAUAAGGACAAAAGCCAAGAGGAGGACAGUUCGCUACACAGCAAUGCAUCGAGGUAUGAGCUAUCAACUUUCUUCCUUUUUUCUUUUUUUUUGGGGGAAACCUCAGCUUACAUUGUUUACCUUGACAGACAGGGAAAACUGUCUGUUUUAUUUUAAGUAUUUUACUAAUUUGGAUUCGUUUUUUAAAGCGUGACCUUGAGAUUGCUAAUAUGCCACACCCUAAUUUUUUGGUAGCAAUUUAUGAAAGUUGAGUUGUGACUUAAGGCCUCUUACAGCAGUCAAAAGGUAAGGUACCUUUAUUCAAAGGGGCCUUUCCUGUAAACUACAGUUUUUCUGUUAAUAAAUUUCAGUUUUUAGGUUUUUGUGCUGUAGAAAAAUGACCUUGUCGGUUUAGCCAUUGCUGCAUUGCACCAUUUUACAUACAAGGCAAAUUUUUUCUUUGAAGAAUCUAGGAUACCCAAACUUGUAACUGAAGGCCAUAGAGGAGCCUUGUGGUAGUAAAUUAUAGUAAAUAGACGUUUGAGAAAGUUAUAUGAAUGAAAAAAUGUACAUUUUAAAAUGAAAUUGCAAAAAGGACCCUUUGACUGAUGCCUCUCAGUUUAUAUUUUUACUUGACUCUAUAUUUCUUUUGUACUCUUGACAUUUUAGGAAAUUUUGAUAAGAUUUAUCAAAACCUUUACUCCAUGGUUACAGUUCCUGCAUUUAUGAAAUCAAACCUGUGAUCACAGCAAUCCUGGAAUACUCUUAAUAUACUUCUCUUUUGUGUUUGUUAAUGUGAUUAUACUUGUAUAUUUUGGAUUUAAAAUAUUUUAAGUUUUGCAUUUAUAUGCUUAUAUUCGGACAGUGCUUUCUGGUUGGUAGAUGUGUAGUAUCUUCUUGCAUUUUAGUUGUAGCUGCUUUAAAUUUAUUGAUUUAUUUUGACAGAGUCGCCUGGAAUGCUUUAUCUUCUGAAGCUUACAAAUAUACUGUUUGUUCAGAUCACGAUUUGUUUCACAUUUGUUGGAGUAUCUUAUUAGUGACUAAGUAAUAAAGCCUCUUAGACGUUUUGUUGUAUGAUCUGUAUAUUAAUUUUUAAAAGUACAUAUGAAUACAUUUCUUGAUGUGUGUUCUUAUAAAUUGUCAUGUUACGAAUUUUAAAUCCUGUAGUUAAGGAUGUGAUUAGUUAUAUGAUUCCCCCCGUUUUGCUUUUACUUUUAUAAUUUUAUAGAAGUAAUAUACUUUUAUAAUAGGUUAGUGAAUUUGAAAGUUUUGAACUGGUUUAUUACAAAUGUUGAAGUUUAUGUUUUAUUAUAGUUAAUAUAUUUUGACCCUUGCUUUUAAAAAUACCUUUCCAAAUUCUUUUGCAAAUUGAGUUGUCAUACAGUUUGGACUGCUGUCUUUUGAACUGAAUUGCCCAUGUAAUUACCUAGGUUUGAUUUAGGACAGAAAACUUCUCCACUAAUCCUAAACUGAUUUUUCUGAAAAGUAACGGCAGUUUGAAGAAAUAGGAAUCCCCAGGUGUAUUUGACAAAUUAUUAAAGAUUCAGUACCUAAAAUUGUUACUCCCUUGAGUGUGUAUGAUUUGCAUGGUCUCACAUAGGUUCUGUCUUUCUUAUGCAAGGUUUGUGGUUAACAUCAUUGAUGAGACUGCCUUCUAACUUCAAAAAUUAAGCACUGUUGCUAUUUUCAAAAUAAUUUACUCACCUAGAAAACUAUUUGGAAGUUGUCAUGCAUUUACCUAUUGGCAGUGGGGUUUACAGCUUAACAAGGAAGCAUGUACUGUACUUUUAAAUGCAUUUUGUCAAGUAGUUUGAUUCACAUACCUGAUGAAUGUUCAAAAAUAUGAGAGACUCCUUGAGAUGGAGUUUUAAAUUAGUUAAUCCGAAAUUGCAUACCUUAAUACAUGUACAUAAUUAUGACAUCAUUUCCUUUUAAAAUUGUAAAGCUUAAUGGGAUGCUGGUGGUGUUUAUUGUGAUAGAUUAAUGUUAUUUUUAGGAAGCCAAGGUUCAGGAGACUGUUGAGGUAUUAGUACUUGGUUCCUUAAUCUAUCAAAAUUUCUUCGUAAGGACCUAGUUUCUAUGGCACAAAGUCUAGUGUUUAGGGGAUACUACAAAAUUCACUUUUGCAGCCUGAGCCACGAGAGAGGAAGGGAGGAGUUUACAGGUCAAGUAAACUCUUUUCUGAGAAUUAGUUUAGGAUCUGAAAGGAUUGAGUGCAAGUUUAGGUAAGCCUGAUACUUCACUGUUUUUGGGAAUAAAGCAAUGACUUUAUAAUUCCAAAAAGUUUGUUAUUGCUGUAUUCUUUUGUUAAUGUUUUUAAAUGUUAUAUGUUGUAUAUCGUGAUUUCUGAAGAUUAAAAAGUUCACUUUCAAAAAUA